Molecule: non-coding RNA, 119 nt
Organism: Pteropus alecto (black flying fox)
Lineage: Eukaryota; Metazoa; Chordata; Mammalia; Chiroptera; Pteropodidae
Source: Rfam
GUCUACGGCCAUGCUACCCUGAACUAGCCUGAUCCCGUCUGAUCUCAGAAGCUCAGCAGGGUGGGGCCUGGUCAGUGCUUAGAUGGGAGACCACCUAGGAAGACUAGGUGCUGUAGGCA